GGAGAGAUGGCUGAGUGGUCGAAAGCACCGGUUUGCUAAACCGACGUACGGGGAUAACUCGUACCGCGGGUUCAAAUCCCGCUCUCUCCGCCA
This 93-nucleotide transfer RNA is filed under the name Pedosphaera sp. Its description in RNAcentral is "tRNA-Ser". It matches the Rfam family "tRNA". From Rfam's summary of the family: Transfer RNA (tRNA) molecules are approximately 80 nucleotides in length. The record is from RNAcentral. RNAcentral also lists the same sequence under 5 other names. Lineage: Bacteria; Pseudomonadati; Verrucomicrobiota; Pedosphaerae; Pedosphaerales; Pedosphaeraceae.